AGGGGGGGGGGGAAUAAGAAUAGGUGUUUCCAUCGAUUCCACAAUUAAGAGGGGAAGAAGAUUACAAGAAAUCCAACGUUUUUGAAAACAUAAGCAAAAAAAAAUGUUGUUCAAUAUAUCAGACAUAAAAUUGCACCAAAGACUAACUUUUUAAUCAUAGUUCAAAUAAGGAUCCUAGUAUAUCAAGCUUCCAUAAAUAAAAAGAAAAAAGUGCAGCUAUAGCAAUACUAGCCUCGUCAAUCAACUGAAAAGGAUGGGAAUGGAGGGGGAAAAGACAAUCUAUGAAAUGGGGAGCAACCUGUUUGAUUUUUUUUGAACUUUAUAAUACACAAAUAAUUUCAAAAAUAUAGAAUAAACCGGUAAUUUUUCCUAUUUAAAUGGACUAAUUUUCAUAUUCAUGCGUCGAUUUUUGUAUCCAUCACUGGAUCUCCAAGAUUCGAUCUUUGGUUUGACUAUUAAAUCGCUGCUCAACUGUCCUUUGACCAAUGAAUACAAACCACCAAUUCACCUUUGAGGCUUCAAUGGUAGAAUGACUUGUACAUAAGCCAUCGUAUCUGCACUCAUCAAUCUUGAAUCAUGGAUGAUGUUUCUUUUCUGGACCAUCAGCAGGUAAAUCUUCAGAAAACUUCAUUUGUAUCACAUUCAAGUAUUCCAUGAUAAAUUGGCUUGUCAAGUUUCUGUUUAACGAACUGUGAGAUCUCCAGUUAAUAGUUCUCAAUUUUACUACAUAGAACCAUUUGUGUUGCCCUAAUGAAAGCUCAGAUUCUUUGAACUCUGUUGAUAGGGCAUCCAACCUCUCCUCAAAAAAAUUAGAGUGCCUCCAAAACAUUGCAAACAGUCUCGCAUUGUUUAAGCUUUUCAUGUUCCAUGACCAAGAACACAUGAGAUUUGUUGACUUAGAAUGUAGUCAGAUCCUUCAAGCAGUCAGGCAGGGAUCUUCGAGCAUUUAUAGGCGCAUCCAACAUCCAAUAUAGAAAUAUAUCAAGCAAUAUGAAUCUAAAUGAAAGUUAAAUCCAAUUUGGAGGAAAUUUAAGAAAAGAUAACAGAAAGGAGGAUGUGUUGGGAUCCUGGUUGAGUCCAUAGAUGAUGAAGAACAUAAUUGCAUAGAAUCAACGUCUGUUUAGAGAAAAAUUG
RNAcentral lists this long non-coding RNA (1134 nucleotides) under Phoenix dactylifera (date palm). Its description in RNAcentral is "long non-coding RNA (PDAC_LNC004015)". The record is from RNAcentral. Lineage: Eukaryota; Viridiplantae; Streptophyta; Magnoliopsida; Arecales; Arecaceae.